This 255-nucleotide ribosomal RNA is filed under the name uncultured bacterium. RNAcentral's name for it is "partial 16S ribosomal RNA". It matches the Rfam family "Bacterial small subunit ribosomal RNA", at positions 524 to 776 of the family's 1533-position model. The record is from RNAcentral.
UACGGGGGGGAGCAAGCGUUGUUCGGAUUUACUGGGCGUAAAGGGCGCGUAGGCGGUCGUGACAAGUCACUUGUGAAAUCUCCGGGCUUAACUCGGAACGGUCAAGUGAUACUGUCGGACUAGAGUACAGAAGGGGCAAUUGGAAUUCUCGGUGUAGCGGUGAAAUGCGUAGAUAUCGAGAGGAACACCUGCGGCGAAGGCGGGUUGCUGGGCUGAUACUGACGCUGAGGCGCGAAAGCUAGGGGAGCGAACGGG